AAAAUGCGAUAAGUGACAUGAAUUGCAGAAUCCUGUGAAUCGUCGAAAUUUCGAACGCACUGCGCCCGGGAGAAAUCCCGGGCACGUCUGACCGAGUGACGCUAUUAUCACUUGCACAUCUCCAACAUACGUAUAAAAGCGGUUGGGGAAGGCAGACUUUGUGGGCUUUGUGUAUUUGCACCAAAUAACACUCCCAUUUAAGCUAUUGCUGUGUAAAUCCCAUCACGUUGUGGGCAAGUAAAGGUCUCCGCCGCGAAUAUUACGUCUUUUGUGUUCCUGGCGGGUUCAUAUGUGUUAAUCUUGCCUUCCCUGUGGUGGGUCUUUGGCAGCCUUUUUUACAAGUGCAGAGACAACUGCUUUACAAAACACCAUAACCGUCCUCGGAUCAGGCGGGAUUACC
RNAcentral lists this unclassified non-coding RNA (400 nucleotides) under uncultured fungus. RNAcentral's name for it is "sequence contains ITS1". The stretch from base 1 to 101 matches the Rfam family "5.8S ribosomal RNA", at positions 50 to 154 of the family's 154-position model. Lineage: Eukaryota; Fungi. The record is from RNAcentral.